Molecule: long non-coding RNA, 809 nt
Organism: Ostrea edulis (European flat oyster)
Lineage: Eukaryota; Metazoa; Mollusca; Bivalvia; Ostreida; Ostreidae
Exons: 2
Source: RefSeq, a predicted model, not a curated record
ACACACCGAAAAUUCAUAGAUCAUGCAUGCUAAUGAGAUAGGGAUUUUCGACCAAUCACAUCAUUCACUAUAUAUUCAGCGCCUUAUCUGCAUCACAAACAAAAAAAAAAAUACCGCGGAGGAAUGUGAUUGACGAUGAAUAUUUAACAAUGGUUUAAAGGUGUGUGUGUCACUCUGUGUGUGUGUGUGGGGGGGGGGGGGUACUGGGGACGAAAUAUACCCCAAGAAGUUAACUGGUUAUCAAUUCAUUCCGUUACCGCAGCCUUAUAAGGGUAAAGAAAAGUGCUUGAAGUGGAUCAAAGCCUGUGGCUGGCCCCAUCAACAACUAAAUGCCGACAAAGUAGAUGAAAAUAGAAACAAAGUUGUGUGCAAUAAAGUGAGUUUUCUGUUUUCUACCAAAAUGAAGAAAAGGAACGACUGGGACCAAUUUACACUGAAUUUUCUAACUGUAUUUGAGCAAGUGGCAGGAAAUCUCACCGCACGCUAUAUAUCAUUCAAACCUGGACUCAUUGCGUCACCUGAUAGACUAUAUAAUUCUAAAGAAUUAUCUGUAUAAAGAAAAACAUGGGCUACUUUCUACUUUCUAACCCUUCAUCACGGACAUCUACACUAAAUUGCCGUAGGAGUUGGUUGUACUUUGCGCGAUUGAAUCCUGCGUAGAAAUGAUUGUAUCCAAAUGACGGUCAUGGUGUGGUGGUGCCCUUUGACUUCUGUAAUAUGAUGUGUAUUUCCUUACCACCUUGAAAUCUACGAGCAGAAACAUGAAACAAUUCAAGUAUCAAUUAAAAUACUAGACAAUAUUGCACAAA